This 478-nucleotide ribosomal RNA is filed under the name uncultured bacterium. RNAcentral describes it as "partial 16S ribosomal RNA". It matches the Rfam family "Bacterial small subunit ribosomal RNA", at positions 28 to 523 of the family's 1533-position model. The record is from RNAcentral.
GACGAACGCUGGCGGCGUGCUUAACACAUGCAAGUCGAACGGUAAGGCCCUUCGGGGUACACGAGUGGCGAACGGGUGAGUAACACGUGGGUGAUCUGCCCUGCACUUCGGGAUAAGCCUGGGAAACUGGGUCUAAUACCGGAUAGGACCCUGGGAUGCAUGUCCUGGGGUGGAAAGCUUUUGCGGUGUGGGAUGGGCCCGCGGCCUAUCAGCUUGUUGGUGGGGUGAUGGCCUACCAAGGCGACGACGGGUAGCCGGCCUGAGAGGGUGACCGGCCACACUGGGACUGGGAUACGGCCCAGACUCCUACGGGAGGCAGCAGGGGGGAAUAUUGCACAAUGGGCGCAAGCCUGAUGCAGCGACGCCGCGUGAGGGAUGACGGCCUUCGGGUUGUAAACCUCUUUCAGCACCGACGAAGCGCAAGUGACGGUAGGUGCAGAAGAAGGACCGGCCAACUACGUGCCAGCCGCCGCAGUAA